AUUGAACGCUGGCGGCAGGCCUAACACAUGCAAGUCGAACGGUAACAGGAAGAAGCUUGCUUCUUUGCUGACGAGUGGCGGACGGGUGAGUAAUGUCUGGGAAACUGCCUGAUGGAGGGGGAUAACUACUGGAAACGGUAGCUAAUACCGCAUAACGUCGCAAGACCAAAGAGGGGGACCUUCGGGCCUCUUGCCAUCGGAUGUGCCCAGAUGGGAUUAGCUAGUAGGUGGGGUAACGGUUCACCUAGGCGACGAUCCCUAGCUGGUCUGAGAGGAUGACCAGCCACACGGGAACUGAGACACGGUCCAGACUCCUACGGGAGGCAGCAGUGGGGAAUAUUGCACAAUGGGCGCAAGCCUGAUGCAGCCAUGCCGCGUGUAUGAAGAAGGCCUUCGGGUUGUAAAGUACUUUCAGCGGGGAGGAAGGGAGUAAAGUUAAUACCUUUGCUCAUUGACGUUACCCGCAGAAGAAGCACCGGCUAACUCCGUG
RNAcentral lists this ribosomal RNA (490 nucleotides) under uncultured bacterium. RNAcentral's name for it is "partial 16S ribosomal RNA". It matches the Rfam family "Bacterial small subunit ribosomal RNA", at positions 30 to 507 of the family's 1533-position model. The record is from RNAcentral.